UCAACUAGCCAUUGGAUUCCCGAGUCUUCAAAUCAUGAGAGUGAUGUUCCAGAACUGCCACACUGAGCUGUAAAGUUCAGCUGGGCCUCAGAGCUGUGGCACUUGGCUGCAACGCUGAGCUGUAAAACUCAGCCAUGCCUCUGAGCUGUGGCACUUAGCUGAGACACUAAGCUGGAACACUUGGCUGUAGCACUGAGCUGCUCUGCUCUGCUGCAAUAGUUUUGUAGGAUGUCUCAGUCUGCGUUGGAAGUUGUGGUCUUUUAUGGCUUGAAACACUUCACUCCAUACUCUCCUGGCCUUUCAGUCUCAAUGUUACCAGAUCUGCAAAGCCCAAGGGCCAUAUCCACUCAAGGACUUCACUCCUGUACUUCUUGGAAGAAGAAUGUUCUAUCAGGCCCUUCCAGCUCUCCUCCCUGUGCCUACUCCCCAAUCCCCAGUCUCUGAAGCAGUCUGAAGAUGCCAGCCACCUCCUUGAAUCUCAAGAUGGAAAAUCUGGGGCAGCCUGGAGCCCAGUUCAGAUGACCACCUUCUCCCAGGCAGACAGAGCUGCCUGAAUUACUGACAAGGUCCAAGUUAUCGACUGGGUUCCUACUUCUUACCUGGGGAAACAAGUCAGAUAUCCCCACAACCUUUCUUCCUCUCUGGAGACAAGAUGGUGCAGAGCGUGGGAUGCUGCUGUGAGAUGCAUGUUGCUAUGGCAACAGCUCAAGCCUCUUUGCCACCCUCUCCAAAGUGCUCUGACACAGGCAGUAGUUUCUAUGGUAACAGUGGGAGUGAAGAGUCCAUGAAGAAAGGGCUUGUGUGUGUCCUGGCAUGGGAAGAAUUGAAAAUGAACCCCGGGUAUUUAGAGGCUAUCCUGCCAUAUGUCAAAAAGAAAUAGUACCCUCACUGCAGGAAAAAUCCCA
Molecule: long non-coding RNA, 905 nt
Organism: Heterocephalus glaber (naked mole-rat)
Lineage: Eukaryota; Metazoa; Chordata; Mammalia; Rodentia; Bathyergidae
Source: Ensembl